RNAcentral lists this ribosomal RNA (500 nucleotides) under uncultured bacterium. Its description in RNAcentral is "bacterial SSU rRNA". It matches the Rfam family "Bacterial small subunit ribosomal RNA", at positions 993 to 1493 of the family's 1533-position model. The record is from RNAcentral.
UAGAACCGCAAGAUGUGGGCGUGCCCGAAAGGGAAACCUAGACACAGGUGCUGCAUGGCUGUCGCUCAUCUCGUGUCGUGAGAUGUUGGGUUAAGUCCCGCAACGAGCGCAACCCUUGCCAUUAGUUGCUACAUUCAGUUGGGCACUCUAAUGGGACCGCCGGUGACAAACCGGAGGAAGGUGGGGAUGACGUCAAGUCCUCAUGGCCCUUAUGGGUAGGGCUUCACACGUAAUACAAUGGUCGGUACAGAGGGCUGCCAACCCGCAAGGGGGAGCUAAUCCCAGAAAGCCGAUCGUGUCCGGAUUGUAGUCUGCAACUCGACUGCAUGAAGCCGGAAUCGCUAGUAAUCGCGGAUCAGCAUGUCGCGGUGAAUACGUUCCCGGGUCUUGUACACACCGCCCGUCACACCAUGGGAGUGGGUUCCACCAGAAGUAGUUAGCCUAACCGCAAGGAGGGCGAUUACCACGGUGAGAUUCAUGACUGGGGUGAAGUCGUCGUA